RNAcentral lists this ribosomal RNA (465 nucleotides) under uncultured bacterium. Its description in RNAcentral is "partial 16S ribosomal RNA". It matches the Rfam family "Bacterial small subunit ribosomal RNA", at positions 338 to 795 of the family's 1533-position model. The record is from RNAcentral.
CCUACGGGGUGCAGCAGUGGGGAAUAUUGCGCAAUGGGCGAAAGCCUGACGCAGCGACGCCGCGUGAGGGAUGAAGGUCUUCGGAUCGUAAACCUCUGUCAGCAGGGAAGAACGGUCACUGUGCUAAUCAGCAGUGAAUUGACGGUACCUGCAAAGGACGCACCGGCUAACUCCGUGCCAGCAGCCGCGGUAAUACGGAGGGUGCGAGCGUUAAUCGGAAUUAGUGGGCGUAAGGCGCUCGUAGGCGGUAUGUCAAGUCAAGGGUGAAAGCCCCGCGCUCAACGGGGGAACUGCCUUUGAAGCUGGCAAACUGGAGUGUGUGAGAGGAUAGUGGAAUUCCAGGUGGAGGAGUGAAAUCCGUAGAUAUCUGGAGGAACAUCAGUGGCGAAGGCGACUAUCUGGCACAUAACUGACGCUGAGGAGCGAAAGCGUGGGUAGCAAACAGGAUUAGAUACCCCAGUAGUC